This 327-nucleotide ribosomal RNA is filed under the name Globigerinoides ruber albus. RNAcentral's name for it is "SSU rRNA". Lineage: Eukaryota; Foraminifera; Rotaliida; Globigerinidae. The record is from RNAcentral.
CAAGUAGGAGUCAGGUUUUAAACCUAAUGGCUCUUUCAUGAUUAUAUGAUAGGUGGUGCAUGGCCGUUCUUAGUUCGUGGAGUGAUCUGUCUGCUUAAUUGCGUUUCAAAAUUUAACUUGAGGACCGGGUUUUGGUUUGGCUAGUGGUUCUACGAUGACUGUGAACUGUCAUGUCUUCGGAUGUGCGACUAUUGGUCUAGGAUCACAUGACUUGCCCCUGGGACUCUUUUGAACGCAACGGACGUGAUUGCAACCCCUUGUUGAGAUUAGAGAUAGUCUCGAUAUUCACUGGACAAACUGGCUGCUUUAUGCAGUCUUGUUGAAUGG